GACGAACGCUGGCGGCGUGCUUAACACAUGCAAGUCGAACGGAAAGGCCCUGCUUUUGUGGGGUGCUCGAGUGGCGAACAGGUGAGUAACACGUGAGUAACCUGCCCUUGACUUUGGGAUAACUUCAGGAAACUGGGGCUAAUACCGGAUAGGAGCUCCUGCUGCAUGGUGGGGGUUGGAAAGUUUCGGCGGUUGGGGAUGGACUCGCGGCUUAUCAGCUUGUUGGUGGGGUAGUGGCUUACCAAGGCUUUGACGGGUAGCCGGCCUGAGAGGGUGACCGGCCACAUUGGGACUGAGAUACGGCCCAGACUCCUACGGGAGGCAGCAGUGGGGAAUAUUGCACAAUGGGCGGAAGCCUGAUGCAGCAACGCCGCGUGCGGGAUGACGGCCUUCGGGUUGUAAACCGCUUUCGCCUGUGACGAAGCGUGAGUGACGGUAAUGGGUAAAGAAGCACCGGCUAACUACGUGCCAGCAGCCGCGGUGAUACGUAGGGUGCGAGCGUUGUCCGGAUUUAUUGGGCGUAAAGGGCUCGUAGGUGGUUGAUCGCGUCGGAAGUGUAAUCUUGGGGCUUAACCCUGAGCGUGCUUUCGAUACGGGUUGACUUGAGGAAGGUAGGGGAGAAUGGAAUUCCUGGUGGAGCAGUGGAAUGCGCAGAUAUCAGGAGGAACACCAGUGGCGAAGGCGGUUCUCUGGGCCUUUCCUGACGCUGAGGAGCGAAAGCGUGGGGAGCGAACAGGCUUAGAUACCCUGGUAGUCCACGCUGUAAACGGUGGGUACUAGGUGUGGGGUCCAUUCCACGGGUUCCGUGCCGUAGCUAACGCUUUAAGUACCCCGCCUGGGGAGUACGGCCGCAAGGCUAAAACUCAAAGGAAUUGACGGGGCCCCGCACAAGCGGCGGAGCAUGCGGAUUAAUUCGAUGCAACGCGUAGAACCUUACCUGGGUUUGACAUGGAUCGGGAGUGCUCAGAGAUGGGUGUGCCUCUUUUGGGGUCGGUUCACAGGUGGUGCAUGGCUGUCGUCAGCUCGUGUCGUGAGAUGUUGGGUUAAGUCCCGCAACGAGCGCAACCCUUGUUCACUGUUGCCAGCACGUUAUGGUGGGGACUCAGUGGAGACCGCCGGGGUCAACUCGGAGGAAGGUGGGGAUGACGUCAAGUCAUCAUGCCCCUUAUGUCCAGGGCUUCACGCAUGCUACAAUGGCUGGUACAGAGAGUGGCGAGCCUGUGAGGGUGAGCGAAUCUCUGAAAGCCGGCCUUAGUUCGGAUUGGGGUCUGCAACUCGACCCCAUGAAGUCGGAGUCGCUAGUAAUCGCAGAUCAGCAACGCUGCGGUGAAUACGUUCCCGGGCCU
This 1346-nucleotide ribosomal RNA is filed under the name uncultured bacterium. Its description in RNAcentral is "bacterial SSU rRNA". It matches the Rfam family "Bacterial small subunit ribosomal RNA", at positions 28 to 1381 of the family's 1533-position model. The record is from RNAcentral.